CGUGUAGGCGGACGUGUAAGUCCGGUGUAAAAGCCCCCGGCUCAACCGGGAAGGCCAUCGGAGACUGCGCGUCUAGAGUGCGGGAGGGGAGAGUGGAACUCUUGGUGGAGCGGUGAAAUGCGUAGAUAUCAAGAGGAACGCCGGUGGCGAAAGCGGCUCUCUGGCCCGUUACUGACGCUGAGGCGCGAAAGCUAGGGGAGCAAACGGGAUUAGAUACCCCGGUAGUCCUAGCCCUAAACGAUGGGUACUAAGUAGGGGCGGCUCCGAUGUCGUCUCUGCUGUAGCCAAUGUGCUAAGUACCCCGCCUGGGGAGUACGGUCGCAAGGCUGAA
This 331-nucleotide ribosomal RNA is filed under the name uncultured bacterium. Its description in RNAcentral is "bacterial SSU rRNA". It matches the Rfam family "Bacterial small subunit ribosomal RNA", at positions 568 to 898 of the family's 1533-position model. The record is from RNAcentral.